Molecule: non-coding RNA, 148 nt
Filed under: Pan troglodytes (chimpanzee)
Lineage: Eukaryota; Metazoa; Chordata; Mammalia; Primates; Hominidae
Source: Rfam by way of RNAcentral
GCUGGGUGUGGUGGCGUGCACCUGUAGUCCCAGCUACUUGGGAGGCUGAGGCAGGAGAAUCACUUGAACCCAGGAGGCAGAGCUUGCAGUGAGCCAAGAUCACGCCACUGCACUCCAGCCUGGGUAACAGAGUGAGACUCCGUCUCAA